GAAGAAGGCCUUCGGGUUGUAAAGCUCUUUCGGCCGGAAGAAAUCGUGUUCUCUAACAUAGGACAUGGAUGACGGUACCGGACUAAGAAGCACCGGCUAACUACGUGCC
This 109-nucleotide ribosomal RNA is filed under the name uncultured bacterium. Its description in RNAcentral is "partial 16S ribosomal RNA". It matches the Rfam family "Bacterial small subunit ribosomal RNA", at positions 407 to 509 of the family's 1533-position model. The record is from RNAcentral.